AUCGCUUCUCGGCCUUUUUGGCUAAGAUCAAGUUAGUAUCUGUUCUUACUCAGUUUAAAUCUGAUAUGUCCUCUAUUGAGGACUACAUAUUAAGCAGAUUUUGGCAUGAGGGGCAGAAAUCUGGAGCUGUCUCUCCACGCAUCGACCUAGCAUUGCAGUGCCGCUGGGAACGGUGCACUCUGU
Hippoglossus stenolepis (Pacific halibut) is the source of this 183-nucleotide small nuclear RNA. RefSeq annotates it as U2 spliceosomal RNA. Lineage: Eukaryota; Metazoa; Chordata; Actinopteri; Pleuronectiformes; Pleuronectidae. The transcript has a single exon. The record is from RefSeq and is a predicted model, not a curated record.